Molecule: ribosomal RNA, 253 nt
Filed under: uncultured bacterium
Lineage: Bacteria
Description: partial 16S ribosomal RNA
Rfam family: Bacterial small subunit ribosomal RNA
Source: RNAcentral
UACGUAGGGGACAAGCGUUGUCCGGAUUUAUUGGGCGUAAAGAGCGUGUAGGCGGCCAGAUAAGUCCGCUGUGAAAUCUCGAGGCUCAACUUCGAGCUGUCGGUGGAAACUAUCUGGCUAGAGUCCGGAAGAGGAGAAUGGAAUUCCUGGUGUAGCGGUGAAAUGCGCAGAUAUCAGGAAGAACACCCGUGGCGAAGGCGGCUCUCUGGGACGGUACUGACGCUGAGACGCGAAAGCGUGGGGAGCGAACAGG